This 459-nucleotide ribosomal RNA is filed under the name uncultured Sphingobacteriales bacterium. RNAcentral's name for it is "bacterial SSU rRNA". It matches the Rfam family "Bacterial small subunit ribosomal RNA", at positions 921 to 1382 of the family's 1533-position model. Lineage: Bacteria; Pseudomonadati; Bacteroidota; Sphingobacteriia; Sphingobacteriales. The record is from RNAcentral.
CCGCACAAGCGGAGGAACAUGUGGUUAAUUCGAUGAUACGCGAGGAACCUUACCUGGGCUUAAUGGGAGUGACAGCUGUCGAAAGAUGGUUUCUUCGGACACUCUUCAAGGUGCUGCAGUUGGUUGUCGUCAGCUCGUGCCGUGAGGUGUCGGGUUAAGUCCCAUAACGAGCGCAACCCUUACCGUUAGUUACCAUCAGGUUAAGCUGGGGACUCUAGCGGGACUGCCACCGUAAGGUGAGAGGAAGGUGGGGAUGACGUCAAGUCCUCAUGGCCUUUAUGCCCAGGGCUACACACGUGCUACAAUGGGUGGUACAAAGAGCAGCCAGCUCGCGAGAGUGAGCAAAUCUCAAAAAGCCAUCCUCAGUUCGGAUUGAAGUCUGCAACUCGACUUCAUGAAGUUGGAAUCGCUAGUAAUCGCGGAUCAGCAUGCCCGCGGUCGAAUACGUUCCCGGGCCUU